AUUGAACGCUGGCGGCAGGCCUAACACAUGCAAGUCGAGCGGAUGAAGGGAGCUUGCUCCUGGAUUCAGCGGCGGACGGGUGAGUAAUGCCUAGGAAUCUGCCUGGUAGUGGGGGAUAACGUCCGGAAACGGGCGCUAAUACCGCAUACGUCCUGAGGGAGGAAGUGGGGGAUCUUCGGACCUCACGCUAUCAGAUGAGCCUAGGUCGGAUUAGCUAGUUGGUGGGGUAAAGGCCUACCAAGGCGACGAUCCGUAACUGGUCUGAGAGGAUGAUCAGUCACACUGGAACUGAGACACGGUCCAGACUCCUACGGGAGGCAGCAGUGGGGAAUAUUGGACAAUGGGCGAAAGCCUGAUCCAGCCAUGCCGCGUGUGUGAAGAAGGUCUUCGGAUUGUAAAGCACUUUAAGUUGGGAGGAAGGGCAGUAAGUUAAUACCUUGCUGUUUUGACGUUACCAACUGAAUAAGCACCGGCUAACUUCGUG
RNAcentral lists this ribosomal RNA (484 nucleotides) under uncultured bacterium. RNAcentral's name for it is "partial 16S ribosomal RNA". It matches the Rfam family "Bacterial small subunit ribosomal RNA", at positions 30 to 507 of the family's 1533-position model. The record is from RNAcentral.